GCCGACAUGGUGGAACUGGUAGACACGCCAUCUUGAGGGGGUGGUGACCCUAGGUCGUGUGGGUUCGAGUCCCACUGUCGGCACCA
RNAcentral lists this transfer RNA (86 nucleotides) under Burkholderiales bacterium. RNAcentral describes it as "tRNA-Leu". It matches the Rfam family "tRNA". From Rfam's summary of the family: Transfer RNA (tRNA) molecules are approximately 80 nucleotides in length. Their secondary structure includes four short double-helical elements and three loops (D, anti-codon, and T loops). The record is from RNAcentral. Lineage: Bacteria; Pseudomonadati; Pseudomonadota; Betaproteobacteria; Burkholderiales.